This 377-nucleotide ribosomal RNA is filed under the name uncultured eukaryote. RNAcentral describes it as "partial 18S ribosomal RNA". It matches the Rfam family "Eukaryotic small subunit ribosomal RNA", at positions 592 to 976 of the family's 1831-position model. The record is from RNAcentral.
CAAUAGCGUAUAUUUAAGUUGCUGCAGUUAAAAAGCUCGUAGUUGGAUUUCGGGUGGGAAUGGCCGGUCCGCCGUUUCGGUGUGCACUUGCUACGCCCACCUUGCUGCCGGGGACGUGCUCUUGAGUUCACGCUCGGGACACGGAGUCGGCGAGGUUACUUUGAGUAAAUUAGAGUGUUCAAAGCAGGCCUACGCUCUGAAUACAUUAGCAUGGAAUAACACGAUAGGACUCUGGCCUAUCUUGUUGGUCUGUAGGACCGGAGUAAUGAUUAAGAGGGACAGUCGGGGGCAUUCGUAUUUCAUUGUCAGAGGUGAAUUUCUUGGAUUUAUGAAAGACGAACUACUGCGAAAGCAUUUGCCAAGGAUGUUUUCAUUAA